Molecule: long non-coding RNA, 3417 nt
Filed under: Sus scrofa (pig)
Lineage: Eukaryota; Metazoa; Chordata; Mammalia; Artiodactyla; Suidae
Description: lncRNA (ENSSSCG00040032783.1)
Source: RNAcentral
GCCGCCACAAAAUGAGCCUGCUGUCGGCCAUCGACACGAGCGCCGCCUCGGUGACACACACCAGGCGAGCGCCUUCGAUGCCUUCCGGCCCGAGCCGCCCGCCGGCGCCGCGCCCCCAGAGCUGGCCUUCGGCAAGGGCCGCCCAGAGCAGCUGGGCUCGCCCUUGCACUCCAGCUAUCUCAACAGCUUCUUCCAGCUGCAGCGCGGAGAGGCGCUGAGCAGCAGCGUGUACAAGAGUGCCUCUCCCUAUGGCUCCCUCAACAACAUCGCCGACGGCCUCAGCUCCCUCACAGAGCACUUCUCUGACCUGACCCUCACCUCUGAGACCCGCAAGCCCAGCAAGCGGCCCCCACCCAACUACCUGUGCCACCUGUGCUUCAACAAAGGACACUACAUUAAGGACUGCCCCCAGGCACGCCCCAAAGGCGAGGGUCUGACCCCGUAUCAGGGCAAAAAGCGCUGUUUCGGAGAGUACAAGUGUCCCAAGUGCAAGAGAAAAUGGAUGAGCGGGAACUCUUGGGCCAACAUGGGACAGGAGUGCAUCAAGUGCCACAUCAACGUGUACCCACACAAGCAGAGACCCCUGGAGAAGCCCGAUGGCCUGGACGUGUCUGACCAGAGCAAGGAGCACCCCCAGCACCUGUGCGAGAAGUGCAAGGUGCUGGGCUACUACUGCCGGCGCGUGCAAUGACCCGGCCGCCCACCAUGCCCCACCGCCCUCCUGCCAGCUGGAGAAGACGCAACCACCCUGCAUGUCCCCAAGUGUGCACGUGCAAGGGGGCAUCCUCAAAGGCUUACAGGUCUGGUGGGUGGGCUCUUAUGUUCUUGUAUGUUGACAAACAGUGUUAACUGACGUAGCUGCCGCCCCACAAGGCCCGCUCUCUGCGACUCUCUACAGGUGGGCCUGGGUCUGUGUGGAGGGGACAAGGUGAGCAGAGGUCAGCGCACAGGACCCCACAGAGCCUUCAGCGUCCCCUGCAGGCUCUCCUCUGAGACUCCCUUUUGGGUGAGCAGCCUUACAUUGGCCACAAGUGCACUAAAUUUACUGUGAAUCCCAGAGCCUGCAGGGGAUGGUCUCCCAAAACCAGCCAGGUGGCCUUCUCCCACCCAGAACCUUCCAGUUUGCCCUGUGUGAAAAGCCACUCUUGGAAAGCCCUAAUUUUCUAAGUCAGUGCUCAUGGCAAGCUGACUCCUGUUCUAGCAGCUGCUGGGGAGCGGGCAUCUCUGCCCCCUGCCACUUUGAGCCCCAAACCUGACUGCCUCUGAAGCCACUGGCAUUGCACCUGGGCCCCGCACAUCUCCCCUCCCCCUACACCCCAGAGGUCAGGGAUGGGGAGGCACUGAAUGUUGGACGGUGCUCCAGCGUGUGACCUGGGGCACAGAGGGCAACGCCCCCUCCCCCACCACAGACUUCCCCCACGCGUUUGGAUUUUGCCAGCCCUAUCCCCUUCCCUUCUCCUUCCCCUCUCACCCAUGCUGGGGAGCCACACCCGGAAGGAGGCAAUAGGACCCAGCAGGGAAACCACUCUGGCAGGAAGGACCCAGGCCUGGCAGUCCAAAGACCUGGGUUUUAAUGCUGACCCCGCCACUGAUGCACUACAGAGCCUUGAGAAGGAUUCUCACCUCUGGGCCUCUGUUUCCCCACUGAGAGAAAGAGAGAGUGACACCAGAGAGGCCCAUUUCUGUCCUGAUGUUCUGGAAUUCUGCCUGGCUGGGUGCCAUCUCCUGGAGCAGAGAGCUUUAUUUGGAGAGUUUCCCCAGGCUCCCUACCCAUCCCCUUCCCACUAUCACCCAUCAGUCAGUCACUUAAGAAAUCAGGUGGAGGGAUGCAGGUCCUCCCCUGUUGCCCCCUGCAACCCCAGCCAUGUCUUUUGUCCCCUACCCUGCAAACGUGAAGGAGAAAGGUCUCCCCCUCCUUACAGGGCAACCCCAAGACACGCUACAGAACCUCUGGUUUGCAAAGUGGGGACAAUGAUUCCUACCUCCCGAGGGGGCGGAGAGGCCUCCUGGCACUCACACUGGACAGGCCUGCCAAUGCUGUCCUGGCUAGUGGGAAGGAUUGCCUUCCUCUCUGCUCUGUCCCCCAUGAGAAGCCCUAUUUGCUUUGUCAUAUUACCCUUCCUUUCUCCCAGGGCUGGGUCCUUUGAUGUUGCCCCAACAUUAUGCCUCUGUGGGGAAAAAAAAAAAAAAAAAAAAAAAAUCAGACCGCGGAAUGGGCCUGAAAUUCAGUGUUUACCACGGCUCAAGGACACCCAACCUGGGGCCGGUCGUCUUUGGUUUUCAAGUGAAAAUGCUUUGUACAACUGAGGAGUUACGGCAAAGUGUUAAUCAGGGGUCCAGGGAGUGAGUUGAAGAGAUGGAGUUGAGAGUGUUUGCAGCCAGAGGGCUGCAGGGUAGAUUGGGGGGGACCAAGCCCUCUGAGCACUUAGGAAGGGUGUGUGUGCUCCAGCCUGAGCCCUGUAGCUGCCUCCCUCCAGGCCUGCAGGGGCAGAACGCCCGCCACCAACUGUGAACGUGCUUACCGCCCACUGAAGAAUCCCUCUGCUCCCUGCCUGCUCUACUGUGUCAAGGUGAGCCAGAGUCACCCUGGCCCUGGGUUCUCUGUCCCCGAGAAGCUGUCACUGUCAGUCAUCCUCGUGUCCCUCUAAAGAGAGCAUUCACAAGGGGUGGCAGUGUCCUGGUUUCCACUGCGAGGACAAGGCCCCAAGACUUCCAGGGACCUGGCCCCACAGGGAGGACCUGGGCUUCUGGGUGCUUGGGCUGAGGUUGUGCGGGAAGUCCACAUCCUAGAAAGAACCCAGGCUCCAGACUCCAGAAGGAAUAUCACCCCAAAGUGACCUUUGCAGUGGGCUUGUCCAGCUGGCAGUCACUGCCGCUGCCAUCUGUGCAGAAUCAGCCACUGUGGGGGGGCUAGGCCCUCCUGCCUGGGGCAGCCCUUCCAUAUUGCCCCCGCCCCCUGGCUGAAUUUGGGAGCUCUGUGUGGUCAGCAAAAGCCACUGCUGUCCAGGCUGGUGCUGUGAGAAUUAAGUGCUCAGAGGGCCCGGGCGUCCAGGAGACAAGAAAGUGUGUGGUUUCAGUAUGUUCAAAAGGGACAAUCGCUUGCAGUUAGUAGAUCUAGCGAUCUAGUUGGGAGAUAAUGGUGUUUACCCCAUAUGAAGUAUUCAAUAGUUCUACUUGUGAAUUUGUAUUUAUUUUGAGUUAUACUUGACACAGAAUUCCUUUUUUUUUUUUUUUUUAAAGAAAAAUACUAUGUGUGUAUUUUGAAAAGAAAAUUCAUGGAUGUUAAAAUUUCUGCAUGGUUUCCAAUUUUUCUCACAACACUGAAUUUGUUACCUUCUCCCGAAAGAUCUUCACAGUGAUUUUUGUCUGUAUAUAUUUGAGGGCCUUUUUUAAAAAAAAAAGAAGAAAAAGAAAAAG